Molecule: ribosomal RNA, 464 nt
Filed under: uncultured bacterium
Lineage: Bacteria
Description: partial 16S ribosomal RNA
Rfam family: Bacterial small subunit ribosomal RNA
Source: RNAcentral
ACGCACGCUGGCGGCGUGCUUCACCCCUGCCAGUCGCACGGAAAGGCCCUGCUUGCAGGGUACUCGAGUGGCGAACGGGUGAGUAACACGUGGGUGAUCUGCCCUGCACUUCGGGAUAAGCCUGGGAAACUGGGUCUAAUACCGGAUAGGAGCCAUUUUUAGUGUGAUGGUUGGAAAGUUUUUUCGGUGUAGGAUGAGCUCGCGGCCUAUCAGCUUGUUGGUGGGGUAAUGGCCUACCAAGGCGGCGACGGGUAGCCGGCCUGAGGGGGUGGACGGCCACAUUGGGACUGAGAUACGGCCCAGACUCCUACGGGAGGCAGCAGUGGGGAAUAUUGCACAAUGGGCGCAAGCCUGAUGCAGCGACGCCGCGUGGGGGAUGACGGCCUUCGGGUUGUAAACUCCUUUCGCUAGGGACGAAGCUUUUUGUGACGGUACCUAGAUAAGAAGCACCGGCUAACUACGUG